RNAcentral lists this ribosomal RNA (496 nucleotides) under uncultured bacterium. Its description in RNAcentral is "partial 16S ribosomal RNA". It matches the Rfam family "Bacterial small subunit ribosomal RNA", at positions 28 to 506 of the family's 1533-position model. The record is from RNAcentral.
GAUGAACGCUGGCGGCGUGCCUAAUACAUGCAAGUCGAGCGAACAGACGAGGAGCUUGCUCCUCUGACGUUAGCGGCGGACGGGUGAGUAACACGUGGAUAACCUACCUAUAAGACUGGGAUAACUUCGGGAAACCGGAGCUAAUACCGGAUAAUAUAUUGAACCGCAUGGUUCAAUAGUGAAAGACGGUUUUGCUGUCACUUAUAGAUGGAUCCGCGCCGCAUUAGCUAGUUGGUAAGGUAACGGCUUACCAAGGCAACGAUGCGUAGCCGACCUGAGAGGGUGAUCGGCCACACUGGAACUGAGACACGGUCCAGACUCCUACGGGAGGCAGCAGUAGGGAAUCUUCCGCAAGGGGCGAAAGCCUGACGGAGCAACGCCGCGUGAGUGAUGAAGGUCUUCGGAUCGUAAAACGCUGUUAUUAGGGAAGAACAAAUGUGUAAGUAACGAUGCACGUCUUGACGGUACCGAAUCAGAAAGCCACGGCUAACUACGU